RNAcentral lists this ribosomal RNA (407 nucleotides) under uncultured bacterium. RNAcentral describes it as "bacterial SSU rRNA". It matches the Rfam family "Bacterial small subunit ribosomal RNA", at positions 355 to 779 of the family's 1533-position model. The record is from RNAcentral.
UAACGAAUCUUCCGCAAUGGGCGCAAGCCUGACGGAGCAAUGCCGCGUGUGGGAUGAAGCGUCUCUGACGUGUAAACCACUGUCAGGGGUUAGAAACAAUGAUCAACCCCAAAGGAAGUGGCGACUAACUCUGUGCCAGCAGUCGCGGUAAUACAGAGGCCACAAGCGUUAGUCGGAAUCACUGGGCUUAAAGGGUGCGUAGGCUGGUCCGCAAGCGUCUUGUGAAAGCCCUCGGCUCAACCGAGGAACAGCAGGGCGAACUGCGGAUCUUGAGGCAGGUAGGGGUCGCGAGAACAGUAGGUGGAGCGGUGAAAUGCGUAGAUAUCUACUGGAAUGCCGAUGGUGAAGACGCGCGACUGGGCCUGCCCUGACGCUGAGGCACGAAAGCGUGGGGAGCAAACAGGAUU